AAACUAGGUGCUGCAUGGCUGUCGUCAGCUCGUGCCGUGAGGUGUUGGGUUAAGUCCCGUAACGAGCGCAACCCCUAUCAUUAGUUGCCAUCAGGUCAUGCUGGGGACUCGUAAUGAGACUGCCCGCGCAAGCGGUGAGGAAGGUGGGGACGACGUCAAGUCAUCACGGCCCUUACGUCCAGGGCUACACACGUGCUACAAUGGUAGAUACAGCAGGUUGCCACAUGGUAACAUGGAGCUAAUCCCAAAAGUCUAUCUCAGUUCGGAUUGAGGUCUGCAACUCGACCUCAUGAAGCUGGAUUCGCUAGUAAUCGAAAAAUCAGCAAUGUUUCGGUGAAUACGUUCCCGGGCCUU
This 354-nucleotide ribosomal RNA is filed under the name uncultured Sphingobacteriales bacterium. RNAcentral's name for it is "bacterial SSU rRNA". It matches the Rfam family "Bacterial small subunit ribosomal RNA", at positions 1031 to 1382 of the family's 1533-position model. The record is from RNAcentral. Lineage: Bacteria; Pseudomonadati; Bacteroidota; Sphingobacteriia; Sphingobacteriales.